UGAUGCCCUUUAUUAGGAUGUUUGUACAGAGUCCCAAAGUUGGGUAUAUGCACUUCCAGGCCUAGUUGGACAGAUGGGAAGAUUCCAUGGAGGAAAGACAGACCCUUACCCUGUCACGCUCUCCUUUUCACAUUUCAGUUGAGUGAAGUAGAAAAGAUUCUCCGCUUCCAGGGAAGCCAUUCCAAGGCUCUGGACACAGAAGACAUUUGAUAAAAUGAGAUGGAAAGUGCUACUGUGGAAAAAAGGAUGCAUGGGGCCAACACUGGGAAGAAGCAAGCUGCUUUGUAGAGGGCUAAUUGUGUGGGUGACUCAGCAGCACACCCUAUCUUUGCAUGAGCCGGUCAUGAGAGCCCGACUCUUCUAUAUUGUGCUAUUACAACAAAGAACACAUGUCACAGGGGAAAAACGGUAUCAAAGUCAGUGCACUUGCUCUUCUGUUUUUAAAUACAGGCACAGCCGACUGGGCGCCCUUGAGAAGAGACUAGCGUGGUGGCAGAGUUUCUCAGCCAAGACACUUGACCUUCCCAGUCUCUUGGAAAUGGCAGGGAAGAUUCUGAUUGUGAUUUCUGAUCCACAGCAACAAUGGAAUUCACACCUUGUGGCUUGUCAUGGCUAAUGAACUUGCUAAGUGGCAUUUUGGGUUUUAUGCAGAGGAGUGUGGUUUCAGCCAUCCAGUUCUCUAGUUACUUGAAAUACGUCUUGCACCAGUCUGCAAACUCAUGUAGCCUGCCCUGCUGCUGUGACAUCCUGUCUCCACCUGUUCUUGUUAUCCCCACUCACUGCGAUCCCCAAAUGCGUUCACGAAUAGAUGUGUAAAGGCUCUGGCUGGCGGUUCUACUGUGGUGUGCCUUUAAUUUUCCAAUUAAAAAGUAUGUGGGGACCCAA
This is a long non-coding RNA of Peromyscus eremicus (cactus mouse), 885 nucleotides long. RefSeq lists it as uncharacterized. The transcript is spliced from 2 exons. NCBI's taxonomy places the organism in Eukaryota, Metazoa, Chordata, Mammalia, Rodentia, Cricetidae. The record is from RefSeq and is a predicted model, not a curated record.